GUCCUGCUAGGUGUCGUGUCCUGCUAGGUGUCGUGUCCUGCUUGGUGUCGUGUCCUGCUUGGUGUCGUGUCCUGCUUGGGGCCGUGUCCUGCUAGGUAUCGUGUCCUGCUUGGUGCCGUGUCCUGCUAGGUGUCGUGUCCUGCUAGGUGUCGUGUCCUGCUUGGUGUCGUGUCCUGCUAGGUGUCGUGUCCUGCUAGGUGUCGUGUCCUGCUUGGUGUCGUGUCCUGCUUGGUGUCGUGUCCUGCUAGGCGUCGUGUCCUGCUAGGUGUCGUAUCCUGCUAGGUGUCGUGUCCUGCUAGGUGUUGUGUCCUGCUAGGUGUCGUGUCCUGCUAGGCGUCGUGUCCUGCUAGGUGUCGUGUCCUGCUAGGCGUCGUGUCCUGCUAGGUGUCGUGUCCUGCUAGGUGUCGUUGUCAAAAACCUUAAAACUUGAAUAUUUGUUCUUGCUCAUUCACCCUCUGAAUGGCUCACACACACAAUCAAUGUCUCAAUUGUCUAAAGGCUUAAAAAUCCUUCUUUAACUCGUCUCUUCUCCUUCAUCUACACUGACUGAAGUGGAUUUAACAGGUGACAUCAAUAAGGGAUCAUAUCUUUCACCUGGAUUCACCUGGUCAGUCUGUGUCAAGGAAAG
Molecule: long non-coding RNA, 628 nt
Organism: Oncorhynchus tshawytscha (Chinook salmon)
Lineage: Eukaryota; Metazoa; Chordata; Actinopteri; Salmoniformes; Salmonidae
Source: Ensembl